Molecule: RNA transcript, 2243 nt
Organism: Physcomitrium patens
Lineage: Eukaryota; Viridiplantae; Streptophyta; Bryopsida; Funariales; Funariaceae
Gene name: caltractin
Source: RefSeq, a predicted model, not a curated record
GAUGCAGUGCCUGCAGCAAAUGCUUUGCACCACGGGUCUUGUAUUGUAUUGUAUUGUAGACGGACUAUCGAUCGGAAUCUUUCCAGUAGUUGAAUAACGAUGAGUUUAGGUUCGUGAAGGCCACCUGGAAACGUCGAAAGUGUCGCCAACCGCGUGACGAACUUAAUCGAAUAGAGUGUAGAAGUUCGGUAUGCUCCUGUCCUCGCCCAGGAAAUGUGUAGCCGAAGUUUGUCUAUCGGUGGUGUCGGAUAUGUUUUAGAUUCGAACUCCGUGGCUCUUUUCCGUCGUAAGUGUAAAAAGUAAUAUCCACUAAUUGCGCUUGUUGGUAUGAGGUGGUGAUGUGGUUGGAGACACUAAUAACCUUUGUCGGCGUUUUAAUUUAUUUUGAUCUUCAAUAUGGAAAUUCGAGUUCAGAUUUUCAGGAGUGCUUAGGUGAGUAUUUUAGCUAAGCUCUGAUCAUUGUUUAGCGAAUGAUCCAACAUUUUUCGCUGAAGUGGUUGUAUUAAGAAGAUCGUACCACAGAGUCAAGCAAAACCUCGAGGAAACUUGAUGGCACAAUGUUCGAAAAUCUACGUUAAAUCUUAGAAACACUCCAGUAUUUGUCGUGGUGUAUAUUUGUUCGCAUGCAGCAAAAUUCUGUUGCGUCAGUGAUAGAAAUGCCGACAUCGCACAGCUAAGACUAGGAAGUUGUUACGGAAACUCCGAAACAGUUCUGCUGCAUUCAAUUAACUUGUGAUGAGGCUGCGGUGUUCUUGCCUCUGAUCAAGAAGUGGGUUUCUUUUGACCAAUUAAAUUUAAAUGUUUUUUUUUCUCUUCCGUACGACAUAUGACCAAUGCGGUAAUUCUCCUCUAACUUUAAAUUGGUGGGGGUUUACAAUUGACUUCUGCGGCAUAAAUCGGACCUCGCAUGUUUUAACCUUAUUUCUGAAAGUUCACAAUCUCAUUAGGAUCGGCAUUAGUCACCCAUGGGCUGUUGGGCUCCCACACUCUCCUUCACUGUAGCAUCUCCCUUUGCUUCAAUACAACAAGAAUGCAAUGAAUGUUUACGAUGGUGAUUAGUAUUGCUCUUACGUGGGACAGUAAUUUCCACUGAUCAUACAGUAUACUUGUGGAAGGAAUAAGGACGUAGGACGAAAUGACAAAGACAUGCAUGGAAUCCUUGGAACAACGAGAUUUUCAAGAUCUCAGAAGGAAACCCUCAUGGAAUCCCGUUUCAUCAUCUUCGUCGCACCUUUCAAGAAUUGCUCCUUCCACCCCUACGGCCUCACGAUGUGGAGAGUAUAACACAUUAACAGCACGUGCUGUUGCUGUUAGCCCCAGGAUAUUUCGUAAAAACGAAAUCUUUGACAUCAGCAACGCUGACAAAUUCGAGAUAAGACUGGCCUUUGAACUAUUCGACACCCGAAAAGUUGGCAGACUUUGUUACAGAGACAUGAAGGGGGCGAUGAGAGCACUGGAAUGCGAUGUGAAGAAAGCGGAGGUGUUAAAACUCAUGAAACAGUUUUCUAAGGACGACAACAAUGAGAUUGACCAUGAGGAGUUCAUGCAAAUCAUAAUGAGGAAAUACAAAGAGAAAGAUCCAGAGGCAACCAUUGGCAAAAUGUGGACAGUCUAUGAUGAGGAAGGCAGGGGUAAAAUAUCGAUAAAAAACGUAAGGAAAGUGGCGAGGGACCUGGGAGAGCCAUUCACAGAUGAGCAGCUCGAGGCAAUGAUCACUAUAUUUGACAGGGACGGGGAUGGUGAAGGUAUGGUCAGCGCAUUCUGAUGAUGUACCACCAACCCCUACUUUCCGCACAGAAUCAAAUCCUACUUUGAUAAAUACCGAACUCGGUUGACUUGCAAGUGUGCAUUUUACUCAGGAUGAGUUCUACGGCAUAAUGAGAAGGGACACUUUGUGAAGGAUUACUCCAUGAAUGCAGCCCACUCUUUAACCUCAUUAACAGACAAACGAAGUUUCCGACAAUCUGAGUAGGAAUGCUGACCUAAUGCUAUGGAGGUAGUCAGGAAUGAUAGGAAUGAUCUAGCUGAGCACCACACAGAAACAUGUAAGCAUUGAAUCUUAAAGAGAUGAACCUUCUUCUAGAAAAACACAAUAUGGAGUUGUUAAAACACACGGAUGACGUCAGUUUCAAACCUUGGUAGCAACUCAUCACUUCCAGAAUAUGGUAGACUACUCACCAAGGUAUGGAAUCUGAGAAUACAUUUGAUAGCUUAUACAAUAUGAUUGCCAGUUCUUCAGAUUA